GGACUACAGGGGUAUCUAAUCCCAUUCGCUCCCCUGGCUUUCGUUCCUCAGUGUCAGUUGCAGCCCAGCGAGUCGCUUACGCCACUGGUGUUCUUCCCAAUAUCUACGCAUUUCACCGCUACACUGGGAAUUCCACUCGCCUCUACUGCACUCCAGUCUGCCAGUAUCCAAUGCAGGUCCGAGGUUGAGCCUCGGUAUUUGACAUCAGACUUAACAAACCACCUACGAACUCUUUACGCCCAAUAAAUCCGGACAACGCUUGCAUCCUACGUCUUACCGCGGCUGCUGGCAC
This 292-nucleotide ribosomal RNA is filed under the name uncultured bacterium. RNAcentral's name for it is "partial 16S ribosomal RNA". The record is from RNAcentral.